AGCUCAGCACCGAAUCCCGCGGCCGAUAUCGGGCGCCGGGAAAUGUGGUGUUAGGGAGGGUCCGUUAUCUCGAGAUUCGGCGACGCGUCCAAGUCCUUCUUGAACGGGGCCACGGCCCAUAGAGGGUGCCAGGCCCGUAGCGAUCGUCGCCGGUUGCGAGUGGAUCUCUCCUCAGAGUCGGGUUGCUUGAGAGUGCAGCCCUAAGUGGGUGGUAAACUCCAUCUAAGGCUAAAUAUGACCACGAGACCGAUAGCGAACAAGUACCGUGAGGGAAAGUUGAAAAGCACUUUGAAGAGAGAGUUCAAGAGUACGUGAAACCGUUUAGGGGUAAACCUGAGAAACCCGAAAGGUCGAAGGGAGAAAUUCAUUCGCGUUUCGCGGUAGGCGUUUGGCGGUCGCGUGACGAAAAACGCGCGUACGUUUCGGCGUACGUGUUCGUUUUUUCGCUCCAUCCGUCAUUCGAUCCGAUCGUGAACGCGUGCACUUUUCUCUCGGUAGGACGUCGCGAUCCGUUGGGUGUCGGUCUAAGGUUCGCGGUGGAGCCCGCAAAUAUACGUUUCACGACGCUAUUUGUGGACCCGCGUCUUUUCCCGACCGACUCGCUCGACGGUAUACGAUAGGUUUAAGGCCGCUCGAUACUUACACGAGCGUUCGACUCGUCGCAAGCGCGUCAGAUGUUUGUCGGCGAUCGGACCAGGUGCCGGUUCCGACCUCUGAUGACUGUUGGCGACGAAGUUCUCGAACGGACCUUAAUUUUCUUCACGGAAAAUUUUCAAAAACCGAUCUGCGACGCUAUAGCUUUGGGUACUUUCAGGACCCGUCUUGAAACACGGACCAAGGAGUCUAGCAUGCGCGCGAGUCAUUGGGAAUUUAAUAAACCUAAAGGCGUAAUGAAAGUAAAAGUUCGUCUCGCACGAACCUAGGGAAGAUGAACGGUUUUUUUGUGGACCGUUCCGCAUUCCCGGGGCGUCUCGUUCUCAUCGCGAGAAGAGGCGCACCAAGAGCGUACACGCUGGGACCC
RNAcentral lists this ribosomal RNA (1021 nucleotides) under Polytus mellerborgi (small banana weevil). RNAcentral describes it as "partial large subunit ribosomal RNA". It matches the Rfam family "Eukaryotic large subunit ribosomal RNA", at positions 104 to 817 of the family's 3401-position model. Lineage: Eukaryota; Metazoa; Arthropoda; Insecta; Coleoptera; Curculionidae. The record is from RNAcentral.